GCAGUAUGAUUACUUGACGCAAGGUGGCGUGGCAACAAGUAACAUCCGGGUCCUUCUCGCUGUUGCUGUCCGUGAACCAAAAUGGCGCCGCCGGUCGCAGUUUCUCCUCUUAUCAAGUUCUCGCGCUAUGCUGCCCUCUUCGUGGGAAUCGCAUAUGGCUCCAGGAAAAAUGCCAGACUAACAGUCUCAGAGGCAGAGGUCCGCAAAAUUGAAGAGAAGCAGAAAAAGGAGAGAGAGGAACGCGAGAGGAUUGCCAAGGAGUUGGCAGCUGCUAAUGAAGACACCAUAUUGAAGUAGUGCAGCCCACAUCUUGAAGUUUUCCAGAACCCCAUUCAGAAGAAGAUUCCACCAUACAUUGUGUGUACUUGCAAAAAAGCUGGGUCUAACUUAAGAACUGCAGAUUUGUUCCAAAUAUGAAGAUGUUCACUACUUCUGGGAUAAAAACCCUGUAGUCAUUGAAUUUCAAUCUCCUUAAUAUACAAGAUGUACUACAAUCCUUUGUGUAUACUUUGUCCUGAAAGGUGUGUUUCAAAGACCAUAUUAUGUUUGACCUUUCAUGAUCACACUAAUAAAAUGUGUCAGUGAAUCUGCA
This is a long non-coding RNA of Branchiostoma belcheri (Belcher's lancelet), 592 nucleotides long. RefSeq lists it as uncharacterized. The record is from RefSeq and is a predicted model, not a curated record. NCBI's taxonomy places the organism in Eukaryota, Metazoa, Chordata, Leptocardii, Amphioxiformes, Branchiostomatidae. The transcript has 4 exons.